This 379-nucleotide long non-coding RNA is filed under the name Macaca mulatta (Rhesus monkey). Its description in RNAcentral is "lncRNA (ENSMMUG00000056786.1)". Lineage: Eukaryota; Metazoa; Chordata; Mammalia; Primates; Cercopithecidae. The record is from RNAcentral.
GAAGAUGAGAGCUGAUCCAAGAUUCCGCACUAACCUCCAUAGCCACAGUAUUCAGAAAUCAAGCAUCUGGGUUCAGAAAUGAUGACGUGCUUUAGUGAAGCAUGUGGUUAAAGGGCCAGAGCAUGGAAUUCUUCCCAGAGUCACAGAAGAUGGCACAGCCUGGGGACAAUCGGGAAUCACCUGGAGGAUGGCAGGUAGCACUGUUAUAUUUACUUAAAAAUUUGGCCAGGCAUGGUGGUUCACCCCUGUAAUCCAGCACUUUGGGAGGCCAAGAUGGGAGGAUAGCUUGAAGCCUGGAGUUUGAGACCAGCCUGGGCAACAAAAUGAGACCUUAUCUCUGAAAAGAUUUAAUCUUUUAAAAAAAUUUUUUAAAUUUGAG